Molecule: long non-coding RNA, 6213 nt
Organism: Triplophysa rosa
Lineage: Eukaryota; Metazoa; Chordata; Actinopteri; Cypriniformes; Nemacheilidae
Exons: 3
Source: RefSeq, a predicted model, not a curated record
UUACAUUAAGUAGACGUCAUAUACGGAAAUAUAAAAAAACCAUACCCACCAACUUAGAUACAUAUUUGUAUGUGGCGAAUUUGCAGUUUUGUUUAACUGCUGUGAGGAAACCAGUAUAGACAUAAAAUAAUGGCCUUGGUAUAUUUUAUUAUCCCUGUUAGUUCGUUAACUGUAAUAUUAGAUUUAACCUGGUAUUCAGUAUUAUUUUAAAAGCGCCUUUCACAAUUUGCAUCGUUGCAAAGCAGCUUGACCAAAAUAACAGUUAUAUUUUAACACAAAAGCAAUAGAGACGGGAAGAAAAAAUAGGAAAUUGUUUAAAACCUGGAAAAUGAUUAAAAAUAGCAGUACAUCAUAGGAUGUUGAAUUUUACAUAUUAAAACUGUAAAAGAGGUGCAGUAAGAUGCGGAAGUGCAUUAUUCAGGGCCGCCGUGGUGUUGUUACCGGCAUAUCUAUGGUUACCGGUCUCGUGAAGCGUGUUUCUGUCACCAGGGUAACUGCUCGUGUCGUCAUCUCAUUAGUACACUCAUGUUUCUUUUCAGAGCGUAUAAAUCUUUCGCCUUUUACUAAAGAUUUCCGUGGGGAGGAACACUAUGAGUAUAAACUAAUUUUUCGAUGCCCUGCUACACAGCGGGGCUUCUCUAAAUGGUUAAAGUAAGAGUUUGUGAUGUUAUCUGUGAAGUGAUUAACGUGCUGAAUGUUAUGUGUUGUAGAUUGUUAUGUUUGUGAUGUGUAAUUUGCUAUAAAUAACAAUAGAAGUGUUUCGCUGGGGUUCUGAUAUUUUGUGCUAUAAUUAGUUUGCGCAGCCCUUACUUUAGGACGUUACGAUUUGGGUUGGAGGAGGGAUCUGUUAGAAUGCACAGAAUCUCACGAGAUACGCCAUGGGCGUGAACUGUAUGACGUCACACGCACAUUUUUAAACAUAUCAAUAAUCCUAACACAUUAUAUUAUUUGCUUGGAUUCAGUAACUGUAAUGCUUUUCCCAGAAGCCGAGUUUUCGUCGUGUUGUUACUGGUCUCGUGAUGUAGCGUGUUUCUGUCACCCGGGGACCUGCUCGUGCUCGUGCUCUGGCGUCAUCACAACAAUACGCUCAUGUUUCGCUUCAGAUCGUAUAAAUCUUUCGCCUUUUACUUAAUAUUUCCAUGGGGAGGAACACCACGAGUAUAAUUUUUUUAACGCCCUGCUGAAUGGCGGGGCUUCCUUUUGGAGCAAAAAUUAGAUUUAACGUAUGUCACUUGAUGACGUAGUUAUGGUGUUAAGAGAAGUUGUGGGUGUUUUUUGGACCAUCGGGAAAUUUAAAGUCGCCAUUUUACUCUGGGAUAGAAAAGAAGUUUGUUCAUUUUACUAAAAGGAUUAUCACCUCAUCGAUCAAAGUUUUGGAUGAAAGCUGAGCUGUGUGAGAAUUAUGACCCAUUAAAACAAACAUACAGGUUUGUUCAAUAAAGUUCAAUUUUAUUUCUGUAGUACUUUUCACAGUUUUUAUCUGUUGCAAAAAUAUUUACAUCAGUAUAGAUAGAUGUAGAUUUGGAGGAAGAAAAUAUAGAAAACAUACAGCAUAUGGAAUAAAUGGUAUUAUGCAAUAUUCUCAAUACAAUGUACUUUGACGAAACCAAAGUGGUUUAAGUUUGUAUUUUAAUUUUCUGUUAGUAAAUGUUUUUCAUGGGUUUAUAUUAAAAUCAGGGUGAGGUGAACGUUAAACGAUAGUGAAAGAAAGUAAGACAGUUUUCCGCUGAAAAACCCCAUUCUAAUAGUAAAAUAGAGGCCAGGCCCCGGUUGCAUAAAGCACCUUAAGUUUUUCCCUUAAGUAUGACACUUAAGGGGUGAUUUUCCUUUACCAAAGACAAUAGGAGAAUAACUUUAGUAAAACUUAAGGUAUACUUAAGGACACACUUAAGGGAAAAUUACACUUAAGGUGCUUUAUGCAACCGGGCCCAGGCCCUUUUCUGUUUAUGAUUUACACAGUGGCCACAAGCCGAUGCGCUUGCAAUCAAGAUAACAGGAAAUUUCAAACGUUGCUUCCCAGGUCGGUUGGCAUGGAAACAUUCCACAUGGUUUGUACCUGCGCACAGCGGCUGCCUCUGAGUGCACAUGAGUACUCUUGUUCUUCACAGUCUUUGAAUUGGGGUUUGACCUUUGCACCUAUUAUUUUCCACACCAGCGUCAAACACACGCAUGGUUUCAUCUUGAAGGAAAACAAAAAGUCUUGUUGAGAAAAACACUUUCCUUUGUGUAUUCUUGUAGAGAUUUGACGGAAAUGGAUAUGAGCGUUUAAUUUCACCCCAAUCCUGUUCUGCCUGAACCUUGUGUUGUAUUUGUCAUAUUGUUUUCUUAUGAAUUUCAGAGUAAAUCUUGUGAAACUUAUAAUUUAUUACAAAAUCAAAAGACAAAAAAUUACAACAUAUUUUUCUUUUAGAAAUGGAAGCCCAGCUAUAUUUUUCAUGGCAGUUUAGUAAAUUUCCUCCUAUAAAUUAUAAAUGUUUAUUUUCUUUAGUUUUUAAGGGGCGAAAAUGUUUUGUAUUGUUUAACAUGAAUAUUUAAUGGAAUUUUAAAUUAUUUUCACCUAUUGUUUUUAUUUUGUCUAGUUGAAUAUUUUAAUCAAAUAAUUUUUUGUGUAGCCUUGAUGUUCGCUAUAUGGUUGCUAAGGUGUUGCUAGGUGCUAGUUUACUUACCUAAGGCUAUGAUGUUCUGACUCAAGCAACAAUAAUGUUUUUCAUUUAAAAGCUUCAUAGCAUUUAUUUGUGAAUUCAUGCAAUGUACAUUGUUUUAUUUCCAAACAGAAACGCGUGAUUUGUUUUCCAAUGCAGUACCAACAGGACCUUGAGGAGGCGCCAGACUGCCAAACACAUUUGACUUGAAUAUUCAGAGAAAUGCUAAUAGCUGCAGAUGUGGACCGUGCGAGUUAAAGGUGGCAGGCUGAAUUAAAACCCGAAGGGCGUUUCUGAACUCCGCUGUGAAAAGAAACAUGCAAAUAGGAUAGAAGUUAAGAGUCAGUCACGAUAAGACGAUCAGCCGAGGCAGAGCUAAUCGAAUAUUCCACACCAUCUCCUGCGCUCACAGGGAAUGAAGGGGAAAAGUCAAGCAGACUCUGUUGUGUGUGUUUGUAUGUUCAUAUACUAUAUAUGUCAGAAAGGGUUAACAGCUUGAAGCUGUAAAGUUCUGAUGUACCCGCAUGCUUGUGGAAGUUGUGUGGCCUUGUGAGAUCAAGUAUUAUGCAAAGUAUUCUGUCCCUUUUCCAUUCUGGGAGUUAUUAGCAUUACAAGUGUCUCAGAUCAUCUGUAUUAAACACACACUGCUGUUCAAAAGUUUAGGGUCACUUACUCUUUAAACCUUUUUCUACUUUUUAGAACAAUACACUUACUUUCACAAAGAGACGAACUCGACACCAACGGGUGGGUUAUAAAUGAAUCUAUGUUGGGUCGUUUUAACCCACUAUUGUUUUUUUUAGUUAGGGUUAGGGUGUUCAUCGGAACAAAGACAUUUACAAAGAUUUGCAACAACUCGAGGGUGAGUAAAUGAUGACAGAACUUUUAUUUUUGGGUGAGCUGUCCCUUAACUUAACCCAAUGGUUGGGUUUGUCCUCUUUUGACCCAACCAUUCGUUGAAUUAUGUUGUAACUAAAGAAAAUCGAAAUAAAUGACUUUUAGCAUCUUCAGUCGUCUUUUGUCCAGAAUUUGCAGAAAUGUGUUCAUUUUAUGCAAGUAAGCUGCAAACUCAAUUUUACACGAUUUUCAUUCGGUGAUGUACAGUAUGUUAGCAGGGCUGUGUAUUGGCAAGGGCUUUGCGAUAUGAUACAUAUCACGAACAAUAUAUUGCAAUAAAUUUAGAUACAAAAAAUAUUGCAAUUUUAUUGCAAAAAACGUAAGAAGAAAAUAAAGCUGAAAAUACAACUUGCUGUGGACCACCUGGGGUAUUUUUUAACAUCCCACCAAUAGAAUCCAUCACAUGUCAGUAGGCUCGAUUAUAGUUUCAAUUAAAACCAAUACAAUUUCCAUUGUAACCUACAGCUCAGGAAGCUGGAGCGGCAUGCUCGCUCAUGCUUGAGACAAUGGCCGUGUGUACUGUGAUGUUAAAACAUGAUUUAAAAAAUGCAUUAAUAGUAGAGGUUAGACUUUCGAUACACUAUCAUUUAAAAAAAAUAUUGCGAUUAGUUUUCUGUAUCUAUAUUUUUGCACAGCCCUAUUACCAAGUAGUCGAGUAUGUCUUCAGCUUCUUGAUCAACAUGUCCGUGUGAAAUGGUUAAAUAUCACAUCUAGUUCAAAGUUGACUGAUAUUUGAACAUGUGAACCAACUCAAAGUGACUCUGGAUUAUGGCAGCAGUAAAUCUCUGAGAGUUUCUUAUGUGUCCACUUGAGCCUUUUGCUAAACACCGAGGUGAAGCUGAAUUACUCUGGAGUGCAGAAAGAUCAGCGAGUGACAUUUAACAACAUUCAGAGUGAACUCCUGCCCGCUCCUCUUUAAAUGAGCACAGCCGACUGGAGUCAUCUCUCCUCUACCAUUAAACAUCAGCGGAAGGACAUGGGAUGUUCAGAAAUGACCUCCAGAUGUCUUCUAGUGUCACGGACGAUUUAAACUGUCGCCUUGAUUUCACUUGAAGUGUCAUAUCGAGGUUUCAAAGAUUUAUUUUUCUAUAAAUUUGACCUAAAGGGAUAGUUCACCUAGAAAUACAAAUUCUGUCAGCUUUUGUUUACUCUCAUGUCAUUCUAAACCCUUUGUCUGAAAUGUUUCGGUGGUUUUGUUUCCAUACAAUGGAAGUCAAUGGGGUUCAAUGUAGUUUGGUUAUCGACGUUCUUUAAAAUAUCGUGUGUUCUGCAGAAGAAACUCGUACAGGUUUGAAUUGACACGAGGAUGAGUAAUUGGUGAAAGAUUUUUCCACUUCCCCUCCGAAUAACCAAGACAUUUAAGGUUAGUCAUUAAAAGAAACUUUGCUUUUGUGAACGUUGAUCUGAGAUGAUAAGUCUGAAAUCGUGCCCUCGGUUACAUAGGUCACUCACGCAGAGCUUCUUCUGUACGAAUUCACGUUCAUUUUUCAGCAGGUAUGAGACGGCCAUCUGAUUCACAGACUGUUUUUCAGCUGGUUGAAAUCAGAUCAGAUCAAAGUCGCUGCCCUUUUCUUUCUGUCAGACGGCAUCGGUGCGAGUUGUUUAAUUUCAACCGCCUUCUCUUACUCAAACUGUCGCUUCUCGUUUCUGACAGACAAACUGAGGCAGGCAAAUUGAAAAGGUCUUCAUUCAUGUGUGAAUCUAAAGUUCACUUUCAAUUCUGUUCCACAGGUGCGUCUCUUCAGUUCUGACACGCUGAGAUGUGCAUCAGCGGACCGCAUCUUAUCUGCGCUGGAAGCGUUGAAACGCCAAUGUUUCUAGAACACGAACCGGUCGACUGAGAACUUGAUGUUCAACAUAUAAGCAAGAUAUCUGUAUUUCAGAUAAACUGAUCAUAUGUUUACAUUUUGUGUGUUGUUUUAUCAUACAAAGUCAGACAUACAUUUUUUAAAGGUGUUUAUCCCAUCAAGGAUCUCUUGAAUCUUCAACACCGAGAGCUAAUCUGCCUUGUACCUGUGAUGGGCAUGUGCUGCCAUCAUUGAGAUCAUCGUCGCCUGUGUCUCUGCAUUUUCUGAGUAAUAAUAACAGUUAAGUACUGGAGAGCAGGGGUUCUGUGGCCCCUUAAGAGUGAACACGAGUAGAACGCACACUCUGUAGUGAGCUGUAUGUGUGCGGGUAAACCAAUGUAGGUUUUCUUUUGUGCCACUUCAGUUUUUUUGUCUGUGUCUUGAUUUCAUAACCUCCACUUAAUAAAUGGCUGUCUGUCUAAUGCAUUUAAAUGACAAAUGGGAUGCCAUUAAGAACUCUCAAUCCCUGUGCGUUACAGCCUCCAAGGAUCAUAGGAGUUUAGAAUUGAACAUUGUUUUGCUAAUGAAUGCUUACCUUGGCGUUUACUGUGUGGAAUAACAUGUAAAGGCCUUCUUGGUGAAGGUUGUAGAUUCAGGUCCCAUUGGAACCAGUUCUCCAAAGGACCGUGAGGUCGUAAAUGGGGAUCUUCGUGGGGAUUUUAAAGGGUUCUGACAAUUAUUGUUAAACUAAUUGUUGUGUAAAAUGUGAUGAAAAUACCACAUGAGGUUCAUUUCAUCAAAGCUACACUUUAUGCUGCAAUCAGUUGCUUUUGCCUCUCUAUCGCCAUCUCUGUUUAAAACAUUAAAUUGCAGGUUGCUUACCUGGGUUU